GCGGGCGUGGCGAAAUUGGUAGACGCACCAGACUUAGGAUCUGGCGCCGCAAGGUGUGGGGGUUCGAGUCCCUUCGCCCGCA
Molecule: transfer RNA, 82 nt
Filed under: Bacteroidota bacterium
Lineage: Bacteria; Pseudomonadati; Bacteroidota
Also listed under: 1 other name
Description: Bacteroidetes bacterium (hot springs metagenome) tRNA-Leu
Rfam family: tRNA
About the family: Transfer RNA (tRNA) molecules are approximately 80 nucleotides in length. Their secondary structure includes four short double-helical elements and three loops (D, anti-codon, and T loops). Further hydrogen bonds mediate the characteristic L-shaped molecular structure. tRNAs have two regions of fundamental functional importance: the anti-codon, which is responsible for specific mRNA codon recognition, and the 3' end, to which the tRNAs corresponding amino acid is attached (by aminoacyl-tRNA synthetases). tRNAs cope with the degeneracy of the genetic code in two manners: having more than one tRNA (with a specific anti-codon) for a particular amino acid; and 'wobble' base-pairing, i.e. permitting non-standard base-pairing at the 3rd anti-codon position.
Source: RNAcentral